This is a long non-coding RNA of Thunnus maccoyii (southern bluefin tuna), 622 nucleotides long. RefSeq lists it as uncharacterized. NCBI's taxonomy places the organism in Eukaryota, Metazoa, Chordata, Actinopteri, Scombriformes, Scombridae. The record is from RefSeq and is a predicted model, not a curated record. The transcript is spliced from 3 exons.
GUGAAUGUGCAUGGUCUCUGGGAUCUCUGUAAUUCGUUUCAUCAGGGAGCGACCCAGGCCUUUCUUGGAGUUGCGUUUCUUUUGGAGGGUCCAGGCUGUGCUCGCUCCAGGCUGAAGUGAUGCUGUUGUUGAGGUAUGGAGCAUUACCUUUGGAGCGAGCAGCAGGCCCAGAGUCACAGUCACAGUCAGAUGAGUGUGAGCGAAGAACAACAUGAGCAUCCAGUCAGGGUGCAGCCCAGGCACCAGAGAGAACCUGCAGGAAAACAUCAACGGCAGAGAUUCUGUUCAGUCAAUUUAUCAAAGUUUAUAUUUAAAAGUCAGCAGAACUGCAGUGCUUCUCGUGUCUGUGAAAUAUGUUCAGACACACCUACAAACACAGACAUUAAAAGCAGCCUUUAGUGGUUCUCUGGACGAAAAGAGCUGAAUGAAAUGUACCACAACCCUGAGGCAAUCUCAGCGUCUAAAAACUGUAAACAUAAAGGCAUAAAAGCAAAACUGUGUGAGAAUUAUAAAGGUAGCAGUUUAUUGCAGCCAUUUGCCUCCUUUUGAGGAGUAGAGAUUUGUUCAACUUGGCUUUGAGCGUAGCACUUUUAUUUUGUGUUGAGGCAAUACAGUGUUUGAA